GGCAAGGUAGCUCAGGCGGUUAGAGCGCAGCUCUCAUAAGGCUGAAGUCGAGGGUUCGAGUCCCUCUCUUGCUA
Molecule: transfer RNA, 74 nt
Filed under: Patescibacteria group bacterium
Lineage: Bacteria
Description: tRNA-Met
Rfam family: tRNA
About the family: Transfer RNA (tRNA) molecules are approximately 80 nucleotides in length. Their secondary structure includes four short double-helical elements and three loops (D, anti-codon, and T loops).
Source: RNAcentral